Molecule: non-coding RNA, 1384 nt
Organism: Cherax quadricarinatus
Lineage: Eukaryota; Metazoa; Arthropoda; Malacostraca; Decapoda; Parastacidae
Source: RefSeq, a predicted model, not a curated record
CAAAGGAAAAAUCUUCGUUGCUGGGAACCCCAAACCACGAACCUGCCCACCCCGAUGAGGUCUGCGACUACCGGACUGGACAGGGGGUAAAUCGUCCGAAGAAGAAUCCUUUGUUGCCAAAGGAAAAAUCUUCGUUGCGUGGAACCCCAAACCACGAACCUGCCCACCCCGAUGAGGUCUGCGACUACCGGACUGGACAGGGGGUAAAUCGUCCGAAGAAGAAUCCUUUGUUGCCAAAGGAAAAAUCUUCGUUGCGUGGAACCCCAAACCACGAACCUGGUAUGUAACGACAUAAUCUUAGUUAAUAAGAGAAUAUUAUUACAUACCAGAGGUACUUUAGGAUUAUGGGUGGUAGCUAGGUUACCACUCAAAAUCUCUCACUAGCAGCAAGCUGCCGAUGAUAUGCUGGCGAUCCACAAGAUGUGACAUUGAGGGAAAGAUUUGAAGAAACAGUAGUAAGAGAAUAAAAGAUUAUGUCAUUGAGAUAAAGGCAUGUGAACAUAGUUCACUGCCUGAGGUCUGUGGACAAUGUCCAACUACCUAACACAAUUAUUCAGGCCAAUGACUGCAUGGCACUGUAGAUAUACAAAUACUUUUAAUAAUCAACAGUCCACCGACUGGAAAACAAUUACGAGUCUGGUCAACUAGAAAUUCCUAGUGUGAACUGGGUGACCACAAUACCAGUCUCUUGUUCCCAGCUCAACCAAAACUCUCCCUCUCCCCCUCCUUCCAUUUGAAAUGACUGGCUGAUUACAGCAUGCUGUAACAGCUGAUUUCUGUCUCAACGAUCCUGUGACCUGUCUUUGGUGUUUUUUGCCUCUCACCUUGGCCAUUUUUUGUUGACUGUUUAACUAGAGUGUUACUGAUCGCAAUCCACAGGCCCACAUAUCCAUAGCAACCUGUUUGAUCCAGCACUCAGAAACUAUAACCAGUUUCCCCAUAAUUUUUGUUUAACAAUUGUUCUGUCACUAUUUCUGAUACAUUGCUGGUAGAACGUAAAUAAUCCUGGGACUUUGACACUGUUUGUUUGUCAUAUCCAAAUUUUUUUCUAACACAUUGGCCAUUUCCCACCAAGGUAGGAUUACCAAAAAAGAAGAAACACUUUCACCAUCAUUCAUUUUAUCACUCUCUUGACAGAGGCGAGCCAAUACUACAUUUCAGUUGCCUCUACUAACUUGAAAUGCUGCAAACCUCCUUGAGAGUGUAGGCACUGUUUCCCACCUUAAGGAUUCAAAUCUGGCUAACCAGUUUUCCUGAAUCCCUUCACAAAGUCACCAUGGUCACACUCCAACUGCUCAUAAAAUUCCAAAUGUCAUUGGCUUCCACUCCUAACAUGCCUGCUGGUUGUCCAAGCUCCUUACACACAAAAGCUCCUUUACCCACU